GGUCAAGUGAAGAAGCGCAUACGGUGGAUGCCUUGGCAGUCAGAGGCGAUGAAAGACGUGGUAGCCUGCGAAAAGCUUCGGGGAGUCGGCAAACAGACUUUGAUCCGGAGAUCUCUGAAUGGGGGAACCCACCUAGGAUAACCUAGGUAUCUUGUACUGAAUCCAUAGGUGCAAGAGGCGAACCAGGGGAACUGAAACAUCUAAGUACCCUGAGGAAAAGAAAUCAACCGAGAUUCCCUUAGUAGUGGCGAGCGAACGGGGAUUAGCCCUUAAGCUUCAUUGAUUUUAGCGGAACGCUCUGGAAAGUGCGGCCAUAGUGGGUGAUAGCCCCGUACGCGAAAGGAUCUUUGAAGUGAAAUCGAGUAGGACGGAGCACGAGAAACUUUGUCUGAACAUGGGGGGACCAUCCUCCAAGGCUAAAUACUACUGACUGACCGAUAGUGAACCAGUACCGUGAGGGAAAGGCGAAAAGAACCCCGGAGAGGGGAGUGAAAUAGAACCUGAAACCGUAUGCGUACAAGCAGUGGGAGCCUACUUGUUAGGUGACUGCGUACCUUUUGUAUAAUGGGUCAGCGACUUAUAUUCAGUGGCAAGCUUAACCGUAUAGGGUAGGCGUAGCGAAAGCGAGUCUUAAUAGGGCGUUUAGUCGCUGGGUAUAGACCCGAAACCGGGCGAUCUAUCCAUGAGCAGGUUGAAGGUUAGGUAACACUGACUGGAGGACCGAACCCACUCCCGUUGAAAAGGUAGGGGAUGACUUGUGGAUCGGAGUGAAAGGCUAAUCAAGCUCGGAGAUAGCUGGUUCUCCUCGAAAGCUAUUUAGGUAGCGCCUCAUGUAUCACUCUGGGGGGUAGAGCACUGUUUCGGCUAGGGGGUCAUCCCGACUUACCAAACCGAUGCAAACUCCGAAUACCCAGAAGUGCCGAGCAUGGGAGACACACGGCGGGUGCUAACGUCCGUCGUGAAAAGGGAAACAACCCAGACCGCCAGCUAAGGUCCCAAAGUUGUGGUUAAGUGGUAAACGAUGUGGGAAGGCUUAGACAGCUAGGAGGUUGGCUUAGAAGCAGCCACCCUUUAAAGAAAGCGUAAUAGCUCACUAGUCGAGUCGGCCUGCGCGGAAGAUGUAACGGGGCUCAAACCACACACCGAAGCUGCGGGUGUCACGUAAGUGACGCGGUAGAGGAGCGUUCUGUAAGCCUGUGAAGGUGAGUUGAGAAGCUUGCUGGAGGUAUCAGAAGUGCGAAUGCUGACAUGAGUAACGACAAUGGGUGUGAAAAACACCCACGCCGAAAGACCAAGGGUUCCUGCGCAACGUUAAUCGACGCAGGGUUAGUCGGUUCCUAAGGCGAGGCUGAAAAGCGUAGUCGAUGGGAAACAGGUUAAUAUUCCUGUACUUCUGGUUACUGCGAUGGAGGGACGGAGAAGGCUAGGCCAGCUUGGCGUUGGUUGUCCAAGUUUAAGGUGGUAGGCUGAAAUCUUAGGUAAAUCCGGGGUUUCAAGGCCGAGAGCUGAUGACGAGUCGUCUUUUAGAUGACGAAGUGGUUGAUGCCAUGCUUCCAAGAAAAGCUUCUAAGCUUCAGGUAACCAGGAACCGUACCCCAAACCGACACAGGUGGUCGGGUAGAGAAUACCAAGGCGCUUGAGAGAACUCGGGUGAAGGAACUAGGCAAAAUGGCACCGUAACUUCGGGAGAAGGUGCGCCGGCUAGGGUGAAGGAUUUACUCCGUAAGCUCUGGCUGGUCGAAGAUACCAGGCCGCUGCGACUGUUUAUUAAAAACACAGCACUCUGCAAACACGAAAGUGGACGUAUAGGGUGUGACGCCUGCCCGGUGCCGGAAGGUUAAUUGAUGGGGUUAGCGCAAGCGAAGCUCUUGAUCGAAGCCCCGGUAAACGGCGGCCGUAACUAUAACGGUCCUAAGGUAGCGAAAUUCCUUGUCGGGUAAGUUCCGACCUGCACGAAUGGCGUAACGAUGGCGGCGCUGUCUCCACCCGAGACUCAGUGAAAUUGAAAUCGCUGUGAAGAUGCAGUGUAUCCGCGGCUAGACGGAAAGACCCCGUGAACCUUUACUGUAGCUUUGCACUGGACUUUGAGCCUGCUUGUGUAGGAUAGGUGGGAGGCUUUGAAGCGUGGACGCCAGUUCGCGUGGAGCCAUCCUUGAAAUACCACCCUGGCAUGCUUGAGGUUCUAACUCUGGUCCGUGAUCCGGAUCGAGGACAGUGUAUGNNNNNNNNNNNNNNNNNNNNNNNNNNNNAGUAACGGAGGAGUACGAAGGUGCGCUCAGACCGGUCGGAAAUCGGUCGCAGAGUAUAAAGGCAAAAGCGCGCUUGACUGCGAGACAGACACGUCGAGCAGGUACGAAAGUAGGUCUUAGUGAUCCGGUGGUUCUGUAUGGAAGGGCCAUCGCUCAACGGAUAAAAGGUACUCCGGGGAUAACAGGCUGAUACCGCCCAAGAGUUCAUAUCGACGGCGGUGUUUGGCACCUCGAUGUCGGCUCAUCACAUCCUGGGGCUGAAGCCGGUCCCAAGGGUAUGGCUGUUCGCCAUUUAAAGUGGUACGCGAGCUGGGUUUAGAACGUCGUGAGACAGUUCGGUCCCUAUCUGCCGUGGACGUUUGAGAUUUGAGAGGGGCUGCUCCUAGUACGAGAGGACCGGAGUGGACGAACCUCUGGUGUUCCGGUUGUCACGCCAGUGGCAUUGCCGGGUAGCUAUGUUCGGAAAAGAUAACCGCUGAAAGCAUCUAAGCGGGAAACUUGCCUCAAGAUGAGAUCUCACUGGGAACUUGAUUCCCCUGAAGGGCCGUCGAAGACUACGACGUUGAUAGGCUGGGUGUGUAAGCGUUGUGAGGCGUUGAGCUAACCAGUACUAAUUGCCCGUGAGGCUUGACCAU
RNAcentral lists this ribosomal RNA (2884 nucleotides) under Pseudomonas aeruginosa PA14. Its description in RNAcentral is "23S ribosomal RNA". It matches the Rfam family "Bacterial large subunit ribosomal RNA". Lineage: Bacteria; Pseudomonadati; Pseudomonadota; Gammaproteobacteria; Pseudomonadales; Pseudomonadaceae. The record is from RNAcentral.